GAUCCAAAACCGGGGUGUUCAUAAUUCAAUCGCGUCAAACUCUUUUUCGCUGCUCUCAACCUCGAUGAUAAUUUUCAUCACGAUGCAGAAAACGUUUAUGAAGAAGAGGAGUAAAUACACCAAAAAGCCUGAACAAUCCGUGAUUUUUUCAAAGAAAAAAAUAAAACAAUUAAUUUAAAUGUA
Molecule: non-coding RNA, 183 nt
Organism: Bactrocera oleae (olive fruit fly)
Lineage: Eukaryota; Metazoa; Arthropoda; Insecta; Diptera; Tephritidae
Source: RefSeq, a predicted model, not a curated record